UGAAUACGAGAUGCUACGGCGUCGAAGCAGUCUAUGUCAUACUUCCAAGAAAAGCUCGCACUGUCAUAAACAAAUAAUGCCUGUACCAUAACCGACACAGGUGGGUAGGUAGAGUAUACUAAGGGGCGCGAGAUAACUCUCUCUAAGGAACUCGGCAAAAUGACUCCGUAACUUCGGGAGAAGGAGUGCCUUAUUUAUAAGGUUGCAAUAACAAGAUCCAAGCAACUGUUUAUCAAAAACACAGGUCUCCGCUAAGUCGUAAGACGAUGUAUGGGGGCUGACGCCUGCCCAGUGCCAGAAGGUUAAAGAAGUUGGUUAGCAUUCGCGAAGCUGAUAACUGAAGCCCUGGUGAACGGCGGCCGUAACGAUAACGGUCCUAAGGUAGCGAAAUUCCUUGUCGGGUAAGUUCCGACCCGCACGAAAGGCGUAAUGAUUUGGAUACUGUCUCGGAGAGGGGCUCGGUGAAAUAGACUUGUCUGUGAAGAUGCGGACUACCUGCACCAGGACAGAAAGACCCUAUGAAGCUUUACUGUAACUUGAGAUUGAAAUUGGACUUUACUUGCGCAGUAUAGGUGGGAGGCGUUGAUAAUAUUCUUGCGGGAUUAUUUGAGCCAUCAGUGAGAUACCACUCUUGUAAUGUUAGAUUUCUAACUUUGUAUCAUUAUCUGGUCAAAGGACAGUUUCAGGCGGGCAGUUUGACUGGGGCGGUCGCCUCCUAAACGGUAACGGAGGCGCACAAAGGUUUCCUCUGAACGGGUAGAAAUCGUAUCUAGAGUGUAAAGGCAUAAGGAAGCUUGACUGUGAGACCUACAAGUCGAGCAGGGACGAAAGUCGGUCUUAGUGAUCUGACGGUGCUGAGUGGAAAGGCCGUCACUCAACGGAUAAAAGUUACUCUAAGGAUAACAGGCUGAUCUCCCCCAAGAGUUCACAUCGACGGGGAGGUUUGGCACCUCGAUGUCGGCUCAUCGCAUCCUGGGGCGGUAGUACGUCCCAAGGGUUGGGCUGUUCGCCCAUGAAAGCGGUACGCGAGCUGGGUUCAGAACGUCGUGCGACAGUUCGGUCCAUAUCCGGUGUAGGCGUUAGAAUAUUGAGAGGAGCCUUCUUUAGUACGAGAGGACCGAGAAGGACAUACCUCUGGUGUACCAGUUAUCGUGCCAACGGUAAACGCUGGGUAGCUAUGUAUGGAGUGGAUAACCGCUGAAAGCAUCUAAGUGGGAAGCCCACCUCAAGAUAAG
Molecule: ribosomal RNA, 1235 nt
Filed under: metagenome
Description: bacterial LSU rRNA
Rfam family: Bacterial large subunit ribosomal RNA
Source: RNAcentral